This 825-nucleotide ribosomal RNA is filed under the name uncultured bacterium. Its description in RNAcentral is "bacterial SSU rRNA". It matches the Rfam family "Bacterial small subunit ribosomal RNA", at positions 57 to 885 of the family's 1533-position model. The record is from RNAcentral.
GCAAGUCGAGCGGGGAACGGACGGUAGCUUGCUACUGUUUGUUUCUAGCGGCGGACGGGUGAGUAACGCGUGAGCAACCUGCCUUUAUCAGGGGGAUAACGCAUCGAAAGAUGUGCUAAUACCGCGUAAGACCACAGCUUCACAUGGAGCGGGGGUCAAAGGAGCAAUCCGGAUAAAGAUGGGCUCGCGUCCGAUUAGCUAGUUGGUGAGAUAACAGCCCACCAAGGCGACGAUCGGUAGCCGACCUGAGAGGGUGAUCGGCCACAUUGGAACUGAGAGACGGUCCAGACUCCUACGGGAGGCAGCAGUGGGGAAUAUUGGGCAAUGGGCGAAAGCCUGACCCAGCAACGCCGCGUGAGGGAAGAAGGGUUUCGGCUCGUAAACCUCUGUCCUAUGGGACGAAGGAAGUGACGGUACCAUAGGAGGAAGCCCCGGCUAACUACGUGCCAGCAGCCGCGGUAAUACGUAGGGGGCGAGCGUUGUCCGGAAUGAUUGGGCGUAAAGGGCGCGUAGGCGGCCUGCUAAGUCUGGAGUGAAAGUCCUGCUUUCAAGGUGGGAAUUGCUUUGGAUACUGGUGGGCUGGAGUGCAGGAGAGGAAAGCGGAAUUACCGGUGUAGCGGUGAAAUGCGUAGAGAUCGGUAGGAACACCAGUGGCGAAGGCGGCUUUCUGGACUGAAACUGACGCUGAGGCGCGAAAGCGUGGGGAGCAAACAGGAUUAGAUACCCUGGUAGUCCACGCGGUAAACGAUGAAUGCUAGGUGUAGGAGGUAUCGACCCCUUCUGUGCCGCAGUAAACACAAUAAGCAUUCCGCCUGGGGAGUACGG